RNAcentral lists this long non-coding RNA (428 nucleotides) under Homo sapiens (human). RNAcentral describes it as "non-protein coding LINC00930:5". The record is from RNAcentral. Lineage: Eukaryota; Metazoa; Chordata; Mammalia; Primates; Hominidae.
GAUUUAUCAGCCGGGGGGAUAUUUAUUUUGUGGAAAUGACCCCUAAGUGGGUAGGGCUAAAACCCUGCUGGCCCGGGGGAGAAGAGAAGCCUAAUGCACUUUGUCUAAACCCACAGCGGUAGACAAGGAGGCAGUGCGCCUGCCACCCCCAAGGAAGAGUCAGUUCAGAAGCACAGCAGCUGCUGGAAACCCAGGAGGUUUCCAGUUCGUUCCUGCUGGGACCUGGCAAGAACUGCACUGUCAAGGCUGCAAGAGGCUCCUGACGGCUUCUGACAUGUACAGAAUGGAAUAAGAGAACCUAGCAGAAAUGGAAGCAGAGGCAAGAGGUCUGGAGGCCAGGAAAAUGUCAAUGGAAAGCAGCUAGCAUGAAGACCCCACAGUGUUCCUCCCUCUAGUAGUCUGGUAUUAUUUGGAGCUGAGAUGCUCCC